Molecule: ribosomal RNA, 867 nt
Filed under: uncultured archaeon
Lineage: Archaea
Description: bacterial SSU rRNA
Rfam family: Archaeal small subunit ribosomal RNA
Source: RNAcentral
CUCGGGUGAUCCUGCCGGACCCGACUGCUAUCAGAGUGAGAUUAAGCCAUGCGAGUUAACGUAGCAAUACGUGGCGCACGGCUCAGUAACACGUAGUCAACAUGCCCAGAGGACGUGGAUAACCUCGGGAAACUGAGUCUAAACCGCGAUAAGUGAGGAUUUCUGGAAUGGUUCCUGACUAAAAUCUAUAUGGCCUCUGGAUUGGACUGCGGCCGAUCAGGCUGUUGGUGAGGUAAUGGCCCACCAAACCUGUAACCGGUACGGGCUCUGAGAGGAGGAGCCCGGAGAUGGGCACUGAGACAAGGGCCCAGGCCCUAUGGGGCGCAGCAGGCGCGAAACCUCUGCAAUAGGCGAAAGCUUGACAGGGUUACUCUGAGUGAUUUCCGUUAAGGAGAUCUUUUGGCACCUCUAAAAAUGGUGCAGAAUAAGGGGUGGGCAAGUCUGGUGUCAGCCGCCGCGGUAAUACCAGCACCCCGAGUGGUCGGGACGUUUAUUGGGCCUAAAGCAUCCGUAGCCGGUUCUACAAGUCUUCCGUUAAAUCCACCUGCUUAACAGAUGGGCUGCGGAAGAUACUAUAGAGCUAGGAGGCGGGAGAGGCAAGCGGUACUCGAUGGGUAGGGGUAAAAUCCGUUGAUCCAUUGAAGACCACCAGUGGCGAAGGCGGCUUGCCAGAACGCGCUCGACGGUGAGGGAUGAAAGCUGGGGGAGCAAACCGGAUUAGAUACCCGGGUAGUCCCAGCUGUAAACGAUGCAGACUCGGUGAUGAGUUGGCUUCUUGCCAACUCAGUGCCGCAGGGAAGCCGUUAAGUUUGCCGCCUGGGGAGUACGGUCGCAAGACUGAAACUUAAAGGAAUUGGCGGGGGAGCA